This 192-nucleotide ribosomal RNA is filed under the name Paenibacillus sp. JGP012. RNAcentral describes it as "partial 16S ribosomal RNA". It matches the Rfam family "Bacterial small subunit ribosomal RNA", at positions 1 to 185 of the family's 1533-position model. Lineage: Bacteria; Bacillati; Bacillota; Bacilli; Caryophanales; Paenibacillaceae. The record is from RNAcentral.
UUAUUGGAGAGUUUGAUCCUGGCUCAGGACGAACGCUGGCGGCAUGCCUAAUACAUGCAAGUCGAGCGGAGUUGAUGGAAAGCUUGCUUUCCUGAGACUUAGCGGCGGACGGGUGAGUAACACGUAGGCAACCUGCCCUCAAGCUUGGGACAACUACCGGAAACGGUAGCUAAUACCGAAUAUUUGUUUUCU